RNAcentral lists this long non-coding RNA (476 nucleotides) under Nicotiana benthamiana. RNAcentral describes it as "long non-coding RNA (NBEN_LNC019427)". The record is from RNAcentral. Lineage: Eukaryota; Viridiplantae; Streptophyta; Magnoliopsida; Solanales; Solanaceae.
CUCUAAUGACUCAAAUCUAGGUGCCCGCGGAGCGUCGUUCGGCCUCGCCGCGGGCCUAGGUCCCAAAUCCCUUUCAAGCUGCUCUAAAUCAUUCAUUGUUUGAUUCACAUAGAUCAGCACUACGUGGAUAAAAUUUGUUUGGGUCAUAUCCUCACAGACCCGGCAUCUCCUGAAAAUAUCUCAAGCGAUAGCUCUAAUCCGGUCCCUUGUUUGCCUCAUUUCUGUAAGCAAGUGCUCUAUCUGGUUAGCGCACAUCUUUAAUGCCCGAGAGUCUUGUAGGUUCUAAUCUUGCAACUGUUGCACCUCUACCUCCAUUUGGGCCAACAAAUCAUAACACUGCCCACUCUCGAUCUCGUAAUCCCUGGCUUGCCUGAUUGCUUUACCCUCAAUGGAAGCCACUUUUCUCUUUAGAUCGUCAACAACUUUCUCGUGGUCCCUUUUUAGUUGAUUCAAGUAUUGGUGACGCUCUGCCGCUU